GCUCACUCCUGCCAAAUAGGGAAGUGCGUGGUUUAUGAACUAGAUAACAGUUUCUGGCUGUCCGUGAUGAAAGACACUGAAAUAUGCUACAAUGGAAACUGUGAAGUGUUUGUCUCUAGAAAUUAAGAGUUUUCGAUGUAAGAGGCAGAGGGGAAUAAAGAGGUUUUUCUUGUUCAACAUUUUCCUAUUUUGCUAAACAAAAAGAGUCUGAUGCAAAAUAGAAAAUUCAAUUGCACACAUUUUAUCUAGAUAUUCUGUCACUAACUAUCUUGUUUUUCUUUCCUUUCCAGAACUGUGGAAUGCAUUGAGCUGUUUGCUCCUGUGGGCACAUUUCUGAGUCUAUGUCAUCCCCACCAAAAUAAAUCAUGUUUUAAAUGUACAUGAACUAUGACCAUAGAUGUGCUCUCCCUGUCUCUUCUCCAUCAUUAAGUCUCAGGUAAGUACAAAGCAAAUAAAGGAAAAGCCCUCUAAUGUGCACGGAGAUUCUGGGGCUUUGGAGUGGCUGUGUUAUACUUGAGAGAUGGCAGCAUGCGGGUUUUAGGGAGAAGGCAGAUACCAGAACCCAGCUCCUGCCCUUGAAUUCGUUGUUGCCA
Molecule: long non-coding RNA, 593 nt
Filed under: Homo sapiens (human)
Lineage: Eukaryota; Metazoa; Chordata; Mammalia; Primates; Hominidae
Description: non-protein coding lnc-MYLK4-18:1
Source: RNAcentral